RNAcentral lists this ribosomal RNA (320 nucleotides) under uncultured bacterium. RNAcentral describes it as "bacterial SSU rRNA". It matches the Rfam family "Bacterial small subunit ribosomal RNA", at positions 470 to 789 of the family's 1533-position model. The record is from RNAcentral.
UGACGGUACCUGACUAGGAAGCCCCGGCUAACUACGUGCCAGCAGCCGCGGUAAUACGUAGGGGGCAAGCGUUAUCCGGAUUUACUGGGUGUAAAGGGAGCGUAGACGGCAAGGUAAGUCUGAAGUGAAAUGCCGGGGCUCAACCCCGGAACUGCUUUGGAAACUAUCUCGCUCGAGUACCGGAGGGGUAAGCGGAAUUCCUAGUGUAGCGGUGAAAUGCGUAGAUAUUAGGAGGAACACCAGUGGCGAAGGCGGCUUACUGGACGGUAACUGACGUUGAGGCUCGAAAGCGUGGGGAGCAAACAGGAUUAGAUACCCUG